This 557-nucleotide unclassified non-coding RNA is filed under the name Hevea brasiliensis (rubber tree). The record is from RNAcentral. Lineage: Eukaryota; Viridiplantae; Streptophyta; Magnoliopsida; Malpighiales; Euphorbiaceae.
AAUCUCAACCGUCUCUUGCUCACAUUUAGCGGCGCUAUCGCUGCCACAUCCAUCAUAGAGUAUUAAGGGCAAGUUUUGAUUGGAAUCAAUAUCAGAAUCAUCUUUUGUGUCAAUGUUAAUGCAAGCGCACCGCUCCAAGGAUGAGAAGAACACCGUCGCAACACCGUUGAGGAGCCAUGAAGCUACUCCGUCCAGCUUUUUCAAUGCAAGAGCACAGCUCUGGCUUGCUUGUGGCAGCUCCUUGAAUUCCUGACUUCCUUUACAGUGGCACCAAUUUAUGCAGCCUCUAGAAAUAAAAGUUGUGCCCAUUAUUGAGAGGACUUUGAAGUUGAAGAAACAGGGUAAAAAUUGAGGAGAGAUUGACAAGGUUUGACAGGUUUUUAAAGGGUUUUCAACAUGUUAAACACACUAAUUUUAUCAGCUAUAAAAAUGUAAACGUUCUAGAAAUUUAGAUGCCUUUGGACAUUCGUAAAUCCAAGUUGUAAUAAGAUAAUCAUUCUCGGGUGAGAUUGGAGGAAACUUUGAUAAAACAAAGUUAACAAAAAGGACAGAAUAAU